AGAGUUUGAUCCUGGCUCAGAUUGAACGCUGGCGGCAUGCUUUACACAUGCAAGUCGAACGGUAACAGGGAGCUUGCUCCGCUGACGAGUGGCGAACGGGUGAGUAAUGCGUCGGAACGUGCCGAGUAGUGGGGGAUAACGCAUCGAAAGGUGUGCUAAUACCGCAUACGAACUGAGGUUGAAAGUGGGGGACCUUCGGGCCUCACGCUAUUCGAGCGGCCGACGUCUGAUUAGCUAGUUGGUGAGGUAAAGGCUCACCAAGGCGACGAUCAGUAGCGGGUCUGAGAGGAUGAUCCGCCACACUGGGACUGAGACACGGCCCAGACUCCUACGGGAGGCAGCAGUGGGGAAUUUUGGACAAUGGGCGCAAGCCUGAUCCAGCCAUGCCGCGUGUCUGAAGAAGGCCUUCGGGUUGUAAAGGACUUUUGUCCGGGAGCAAAUGCCUGGUGUUAAUAGCAUCGGGAGCUGAGAGUACCGGAAGAAUAAGCACCGGCUAACUACGUGCCAGCAGCCGCGGUAAUACGUAGGGUGCAAGCGUUAAUCGGAAUUACUGGGCGUAAAGCGUGCGCAGGCGGUUUUGUAAGCCAGAUGUGAAAGCCCCGGGCUCAACCU
This 612-nucleotide ribosomal RNA is filed under the name uncultured bacterium. Its description in RNAcentral is "bacterial SSU rRNA". It matches the Rfam family "Bacterial small subunit ribosomal RNA", at positions 8 to 615 of the family's 1533-position model. The record is from RNAcentral.